Bacillus rossius redtenbacheri is the source of this 1374-nucleotide RNA transcript. It is a transcript of the gene named large ribosomal subunit protein mL39, with no coding region annotated. The record is from RefSeq and is a predicted model, not a curated record. The transcript has 10 exons. Lineage: Eukaryota; Metazoa; Arthropoda; Insecta; Phasmatodea; Bacillidae.
AGUCAAUGUGACUUCACGGCAUCCAUAUAGUGUUGGUUAUAAAAUUUUGAAUCUAGGAAAAUAACGGAUGUUCUAAUGUGAUACUGAAGAAUCGUGAUCACAAUUUAAUGUUGAAAUUACGGAUUAGUGAGAUGACUUACAAAUACUGCACGAAGUGCAACACGUUCCUGAAAAACAUACGAAUUGAAAAUGUUAGUCAAUGUUUACUUCAACGCAGCUUCGCGAGCACCCGGCCGACCAAUGCAGCGACCGAGGGGCGGCGCAGCGAGCUGUUCUCGCGGGAGCAGAGGCGGCAGUAUGAAGCAGUGGGGCGAAUAGAGAAGAUCGAGGUGACAUGCACGGGAGGGCCGGAGGAUGCCAAGCUGCUCAUGAACAAGAACAUUUCGACGCCCCACGACUGCGCGCAACAUCUGUCUCAGAUGAUGGUCCAGCGGUCGGCGCUGGCCCAGGUGGACCAGGGCGCCCUGUGGGACAUGCACCGCCCGCUGGAGUCCCCCUGCCAGCUGCGGCUGCUGAGCCUCAGGGACCCGGACCCCCGCCACGUGAACAAGGCCUUCUGGCGGACGUGCUGCUUCCUGCUGGGCGCGGUGGCCGAGCGCCUCUUCAAGGACGACGUGCGUGCGCUGCUGCACAGCUUCCCCUCCCCCAGCGUUAAAAGUGGCAGCUUUGUUUAUGAUGUUGAUGUUGGAUUGGACGAUUGGAAACCCAGUGAGAGCGAGCUGCGAGCGGUGUCCGGGGAGAUGGUGCGGCUGGCUCGCGAGGGUAGGCGGCUGGAGCGGCUGGUCGUGGCCGCAGACCUGGCCCUCGACAUGUUCCGCGACAACCCCCACAAGUGCGCCCAGAUCCCCAGCAUCGCGUCACAGCUGUCGGGCGUAAUGGCUCACGGAGGAUGUGCAGGUGACCACGUGGUGCUGUACCGCUGCGGGCAGCACGUGGACCUGAGUCGCGGCCCCAUGGUGGCCGACACCAGCUUCCUGGGUCGCUGCACCGUCACCGCCGUGCACAGGGUGGAGAGAGAAGGCAGAAGUUUGUACAGGUUUCAAGGCGUAGCUCUGCCGAAAGGAAUCUUGGGAAUUUCUCUUGCAGCAAAGAUGUCAUUUUUUUAUUACGUUUGGGCUCUUGGAUAUGUAUGACCCAUGAACAGCAGCAAAUACGACUUCGAACUGCAUUACUUUAUCCAACCACUCGGGUGAAGGUAUCCUAAAUCACUUUGCCUACAGCAUACUGGAAAAGAGAGCCAGAAAUUUGAACCCCGCCGCGCUGCAAGACCACGAUCAAGGCACGGACCAGUCCGGACAACACGAGCAGCAUGAGGCGGCGGCCCAGCAGAGCGUGUGAAGCAUUCUUGCUGCGUUCGUUUCAUGACUCUUUGUA